GCUUCGAGUACAACAUUUUGUUUUCUUUAAUUAAGAUGAUUUGAUUAAAAAAAAAAAAAAUUUUAAACUGAAGUCUUAAUUACAGGAGCGUGAUAUUAUGUUUUACACAAAUGUGUAUAUCCAGGAUAUAAUCUAUCUCCAUUCCAAACUUCAAUCAAAUCGGUUCAGUAGUUGCGUUGUGAAGAGCACACUCACUUUCGCCGUUUUUUUAUUCAAAUCACAAGAAUUAUUUACCAUUACAAAAAUAGAUUGUUCCAUAUAAACUAAACGCCUUGAUGGAUUUCUUCGAAGACUGGUGCGAACUUCUCAACGCUUACGACCUUUGGCAUUUCACGAUGCCUUUAUGUUAUACCAAUCGAUAAUGUUGACCUUUACCACUGUGAACUUGUAUAUCCUUUUCACACUGAGGCCGGGUAUACAGCUGCGAAUGCGUAAACUUUGGACUUCUACAUACAUACAUACAGUAAGACGUUCAGUUGCAAUUGCUUCGAGACGUCGACUGCUUCAAGGUACGACUGCGUAAACUACAAACUUCUUACAUACACAAACCGCUCAAGCAGUUGCAACUGCUUCGAGACGUAUCCGCUCGGAGCACGAAAGAGCUUGAAAAAUUUUUCGUGCUCCGAGCUUUGAAAUUGAAAUUUAGUUCGCGGCGCAUGUAUCAGUCAGGAUCGACUGCUUCAACCCAUGCUUCAAGCUGCGACUGCGCUCAAGCAGUUGCAACUGGUGCUGCUUCGAGCGGUUAUCAACAGCAGGUUCAAGCUGUUGACUCUUGACUGCAAGAGCGGUCCAUGUAUGUUGAUGACUUGCUAACUUCUAAAGCUACCCGUAUAUGGCCGGCCUUACAUACUUGCUGUUAGACAAAGUAUUUUGAAAUUUCUUUAAGCAUUACCCAAGUCGCAAAAAUGGGAGUUCAGUUCCAAGUAUUUUUAUCAUCUUGUUGUAAGUAAUCUGAAACAUUGUCGUAUUGAGAACUUCCUCAUUUUUUUGAAGAUGGUUGAAAAUGACUAGUCAUUACCUUUAAUACCUUUUUCCCUACUGUUUUCUCUGUUUCGUUUUGUAUGCCACGUUUGUAUUAAACGUUUCUUACGGUGGAAUUCAAAGUCGUAGUAGGGGGCCCCUAAGGGGAUUAUUCAGCCGCUAUGUGUCGAAUUCAACCCCUACGCGUUUCAUAGACAAAAGAAACCCCUCAUUUGACAGGAGCUGGCGGCUGACUGCUGAAUUACCGAUAUUUGUCAGCCAAACCAUCCCCUGGCAUUUUUUUUGUUGUUAUUCGUGAUUUAUUUAUUAAAAAGUGGACUUGGAAAGUGUUAAGACUGUGUAUAAACAGCGAGUUAUAUCAGUAUCCAAGAUAAAUAUUCGCAAUUGCGUAAAUCCAGUUUAAUACUAUGGCGUUAUGGAAUGUACGAAAGAUUCUCAUAUUAGGCAUAAUAUGCCUCUGUUUGAUGAAGAAUGAACACAGAAGACCCAAGAGAGGAAUACCAAUACCGCUAUUAUUAUGCAUUCUAGCAGCACUUCGAUUCUAUGUAACGGGAUGUUUCCAGACUGUAUGUGCAUUCCAUCAAGCAUUCUAUGAAAUAACAGAAAUGCCACAAGUCAAGCUGUAUUGAUGGCACGCAUAGGUAUACAUAUAAACAACCCCGGAGGACACUAUGCACAGAUUUUAAGAAAUCAGCUAUCAUGGCAGGGAAUAGCAGUGAUGAGCUCUGAGAAUACUGUUUUACCAAGAAUACUGAGAAUACUUUGGUCCUUGAAAAUCCGAGUUUUCAGAUCACAGUAAUUGGAAGAUCCACAUACCUUGAAAAGUCAGCAGCAUUUAAUAUAGAGGUAGUAGGAGUGAGUGCAGUAUGUUGUAAGGUGGUCACUCACUCUGAAGUCCAUAACAAUAGAAAAUGUAUACAAAUCUUAAUUGAAUGAAAUUUAUUGAUUCACAUCUUUAAUAAAGAUAAUUAUUAAAUGUUUA
Bicyclus anynana (squinting bush brown) is the source of this 1963-nucleotide long non-coding RNA. RefSeq lists it as uncharacterized. The record is from RefSeq and is a predicted model, not a curated record. NCBI's taxonomy places the organism in Eukaryota, Metazoa, Arthropoda, Insecta, Lepidoptera, Nymphalidae. The transcript has 2 exons.